GGACAAGGGAGGGAGUGGGGAAAAUCCCUUCCUUGACCUACACAAAGGCCUUUUCUGCAACAGGAUUCAAGGACAAUAUUUUCCCACUGGCACAGCUCCACCAGUGGCUGGAGCAUUCACAUGGACAGAGUGAUGAGAAUCCAUCGGUUCUUUCAUCCCUUGUCUAACUUCACUCAAAAACUAAGAGAGCGCUGAUGCACCAAAAUGUAAACGUGUAUUUUAUUCAGUUUAGGCAGAACUACAUUUGACUGAUUGAUAAGAAGCCUUUCCUUGCUCAGUGGCAACAUAUCUGUCAUUCUGGAAACAGCAAAAAGACAGAAGUGACAGCCAGCACGUAGGACGAAGUUAUCAAGAGAGCUGCUGUCUUCUUUGAGCAUAAUGCCACUGAAACAUAAAAGCAAAAGAAAAACUGAUUGAAUUAAAGCAUCAGUCACAAGCACCUCUCUUUUCAGCAUCGACAUAACUGCUCCAUCUCAUCAUUUCAAAAAAUUAACAACAAAGUCCUAUUAGGAACAAAUUAAGUGGUGAACAUACUGCUCCUGACACCGCAAUGCACUAUGAGAAGUUAUAAGGCACACACUGUCAUACAAAGGCUGGCUGAGGUGCUGUCCAUCAGGAAUACCACUAUUAUCACCGCACAGAAUAUUUCUGGGGCUCAAGUCCAUUGAAACUUAACUGUGGUGGACUAGACUGAAAUCACUUUUCCACAGGAGGAAUCUACACUACAAUAAAUUUUUACUGUUAUCAUUACAAUCAUUAUAUCAGCACAUAUGCAAUGCAGAACAGAGAGAAUUGGUAGCUGAAGUGUGGAAAAUAAAGUCUCUCCAAUAUUAAAAACUGACGCUGUUUUGCAGAGGGUAGGAUGAAAGACACAGGAACAAGAUAGAAUAACUGAAAGAAAUAAGGCUCAGCCAAACUCCCACGAACACACUGCUGCUUAUGCAAAACAGACUGAAAGCUGUCUAAAGCACAGUACUACCUACCAGCCACUAUUUACAUGGCAAGUAUUUCAGAGGAAGCAGAAGUCCCCCUCUUUUUAGAAAGCCUUCUGUUCCUCUAAGAAUGAAAGGCAUCUGUCAUAUGCUUCUCAUGAUGGCAAGUUCCUCUGCUAAUUACCCACAGGAGAACAAAGGCAGCAUUUUGCUCUGAGAAGGAAGCAACAGUAAUGUCUCUCCCAUUUCUUCCUCUGUGAGGGAGCACGUUCCUUUUGGAUCUAACGAGCGUAACACCACCGUGAGUGAACCUCACUCAAAACAUUUGCAAUCCUAAGGCGUGUAACUACUUGAACAUCAAGAACUGUAACAACAUUUGCAGAGAGCUCAUAACUUCAGGACUGCAGUGAUUUAUUGGCAGCAAUGACAGUUGCCUGGGUUGCUUGCCAUAAUACAGGCCAGUUGUAUUCAUGAUAGAUUGAGGUCAUUGAGGGGGAGUGGAAUAGGUCCUGUCAUAUAUCCUUCAACAGGUUUUCAUUUGUCUGUGAGUUAGGGUUGUGGUAGCAGUGGGAAAAGGGUCUCAUCUGAAUGUUUAUUUUUCUUGCCUGAAGGGCUCUGUUCAUUAAACAUGCAUGUGUUUGAUACCUGAAAAGGAGACAUCAGCAUGAGGGAUUUGUGACUCAACUCACUGACCUGCACUGCCAGUCAAAUUUCAUAAGCAAAAUUAAGAGCAUAGGGGGAAAGAAGAAAGGAAGAGAGAAAGGAAUAGAAUGGAAGGAAAGUACUGAACAGAUCACUAAAGCCCUUUUUGUAGUCACAUGGAUAAGUCUUUGCGAUCAGCCUGCCCAAUACAGUGCAUACACAUUGUACUCAAUGUUCACAAUACACAUUGUAGCAUGAUCAUUCCACUCACUGUUCAAUCCCUGUGGUUUGUUCUGCAGUUUGAGUACAACUACAAGAGGUUCCACAGAGAAAUAGAUCUGGGUUGAACCUCCUAUAAAAUGCCAUUGAUGCUAGUGAGGCUUUGCGAGAUUGGGCGCAUCAGUCACAGGUUACUAGUAGGUGAGUUAACUCAUUUCCUCCUCUGCCUCACUCUCAAGCACAAAUAGGAGCUACCACGGCCCUCACAAACAGCUUGAAUGUAGAACUGUGUUCAGAUACCACGCCACUGGAUUUCUAAAAUGUCAUUCCCUCUAAGAGUUGACAUGACAAUAUUUAAUCGUUCAACUCAUCUUGUUCUUUUAACCCAUUUAGCCACUCCACUAUUCUAGAAAUCAAUAAAACAUUUGGGUACCUCUGGGUUUAUAUCCUCUAAAUCAGAUUGAGGGGGAAAAAAAUAUCACACAGAAGUAUGAAAAUAAAUUCAGAAGUAAUGAAAACAGUGUACAACCACCAGAUUUUCCAGCACUGGAACAUUAAAAAAAAAAAAAAAGCUGACAAAAAAAAACCAGAAGAUGCAACAUCAGUUGUGCUUUUCACUCAUUUACCUGUGUGUCUGUGAUGGACUUCUUGCAGAGAAGGCAGCUGCUGUAGUGGAGAGGAGCUGUUCACUCCCAGUGAGAGACAUGCUGUUGUUUAUGCUGAGCCAAGCCCUCAGUCAUCAUGCUAGAGUCACCAUUACUGAAAGAAUCCCUUCUGACAGAACAUACAGCCAAAGAAUAACCAUUAACAUAUCAGUUCAUAUCUACCAUUUAUCUGUGCGGCUUUGUUCCUUCUUGGGCCUCUGUCAGCAUAAUUGAUGAGCACUCAUUAAAACCGGUCCCUUUUCACACAUCCCUAAUAACAUCCUCACAGCCCAGGUGUGUUUCACUAAAUAUGAAUGGUUUGCAACUAAGAAGAUGAGAUGGUGAUUUUCUCUUACUAUCUUCUGAUGCGGGUGUGAAAUGGUGAAGCUACCCAGGAAUAGUAUUCAUGCUUUCAUGUGCUAUCUGCAUUGUAACAAGCAUUUUCCAUAAAGUGCUUCACAGAUUGUUGUUAAUUCUUUUGGAUGAGUGAUUAAUACCCCUUUGUGAGAGCUUACUGGGACACCAGAGGCCCUGAGCAGCAGGGAUCUCCUCCUGCUCACACAGAGACAAAUCUAGAAUAGCGCUGCUGCAAUCAACCAAGCUUCAGUAGUGCAAGUGGCAGUAUCACCUGCUUACACUCCAGCUCUGGGGUUUCUUUCCCUACAUAAUUAGUCAACCAGGGAAAUAUGGGAAAAAAUAAAUAAAAGAAAUAGCACUUGGGUAUACAGGAAUCCUUUUGCUAUUGAGGGAGCUAAUAAGUCCUGAUCCUGCUCUCAUUUGAAUCUUAUCGAACAAACAGAAAGGAAAAGAAUGACAUACUACCUAAACAUAUGCUUUCAAUUUUCUGAGAACUAUUAAAUGGAAAAUACUAGUCUGUCUUUAACCAUUUUCAUAUUUAUUCUGCAGUAUUUAAGGUUAGAGGUGGGUCAUGAUUCUGUGGCAAAUAUUGUGGAAAGAAAAAUUCAUUGUGCUGUGGUCUUAUGCUAAUUAAAAUCCACAGGAAAAAAAACACAACGCUAUUUAAACACAUUUUAGGUAUUUAUUUCAAAUUCAGGAUUGAUUAAGUCAUCUUACUCAGCAGUACUCUACAAAGCAAAAGAAAGACAAAUAAGGAAACCCUCAGAGCAAGUUACCUUUCUUGGUUUUCAUAUUACAUGAGAAACAUGAGUUACAAGACUUUUUCUGUAUUUAAGACUUUAUUGCUAUUAACCACAGUGGAUAUACAUGAAUUGUCACGCCAGGCAGACAGCUUCAAGUUUAUUUUCUGUUAGGCAAAGAAACUAACUACAUAUUUAUAAAUCCAUUCUUUAGAUAAAUAAGAAUUUCUGGUAAGCCAUCUAUUUUCUUAUGAAUUGUUUUUGUUUUGUUCUGUUUUCUUGAUUGAAACAAAUGAAAAUCACAUGCUAUGAUGUAAACUUACUGUAUCUUAUGCAGCUUCGGUAAUAUUUUAAUCCUUCCAAUUGAUGUACUGAUUUCCAGAAGUAAAAACCAGUUCCUGAACUACUUCAGUUGUCUACUCAUCUACUCAGAAAGUCACCCUUUCCUUGUCUCUACUUUAAAACAGACUGUGCUGGAUAAUAGAUUUCCACCUGAUGUAACUCUACGAAGUGGACUUUAAUGAAGACUGUAAAUAGCAGUGACAAAAGAGUGGAGAGAAUACGACUAUAAUUUGAGAUCUUUCCUGUUUCAUUUUAGAAAUGCAUCCACUUAAUCUGAUGAAAUUUGUGUAAUUAUACUGAAAAAUGUACGUUUGUGUAUUUUUGAGAAUUUAAUACUCAGCAACAGAUCCACACAAGUCUCAUUGCUCUUCUGUACACAAUUUUUUACUUUUAACUUGCAGCACUAAGGAAUUAUGGAACAUACUGUAUUCCAUACAUGUGCGGAUCUACUCGAUUUAAUGUUCUUAGUUAGGUUAGUCCUAAUGCAAUCAUCACGCAAUGAUAUCAGCAGUUAUACCAGUGUUCACCAUUUCCAUACUCCUGUGUUUAGAAACUCUCUUCUUGCUCUAGUUUGUCAGAACUAGUCAUCAGACCUUUCUGAGAAAAGAGCUGCACCUUGCUAAAGGGUUUGUUCAACACACCCUUCAGAUUUUCACACAGACUUAUGAAAAGCUUUUGUGGAUAAGCCAGCAGCCCAGUUUUUUAUAUCUGCCUAAUUUUUAACAGUUAAGUCUAUUAUCAAGAAAAAGGGAAUACGGAGAAUGCCCC
Molecule: long non-coding RNA, 4644 nt
Organism: Gallus gallus (chicken)
Lineage: Eukaryota; Metazoa; Chordata; Aves; Galliformes; Phasianidae
Source: Ensembl